GUAGUCAUAUGCUUGUCUCAAAGAUUAAGCCAUGCAUGUCUAAGUAUAAGCAAUUACAAAGCGAAACUGCGAAUGGCUCAUUAUAUAAGUUAUCGUUUAUUUGAUAGUACCUUACUACAUGGAUAACCGUGGUAAUUCUAGAGCUAAUACAUGCUGAAAAUCCCGACUUCGGAAGGGAUGUAUUUAUUAGAUACAAAACCAAUGCCCUUCGGGGCUCUCUUGGUGAUUCAUGAUAACUUCUCGAAUCGCACGGCCCCGCGCCGGCGAUGGUUCAUUCAAAUUUCUUCCCUAUCAACUUUCGAUGCUACGGUAUUGUCCUAGCAUGGUUGCAACGGGUGACGGAGGGUUAGGGCUCGACCCCGGAGAAGGAGCCUGAGAAACGGCUACUACAUCCAAGGAAGGCAGCAGGCGCGCAAAUUACCCAAUCCCGACUCGGGGAGGUAGUGACGAUAAAUACCGAUACAGGGCUCUUUUGGGUCCUGCAAUUGGAAUGAGUACAAUUCAAGUCNCUUAACGAGGAACAAUUGGAGGGCAAGUCUGGUGCCAGCAGCCGCGGUAAUUCCAGCUCCAAUAGCGUAUAUUAAAGUUGUUG
Molecule: ribosomal RNA, 592 nt
Filed under: uncultured fungus
Lineage: Eukaryota; Fungi
Description: SSU rRNA
Rfam family: Eukaryotic small subunit ribosomal RNA
Source: RNAcentral